Molecule: ribosomal RNA, 499 nt
Filed under: uncultured bacterium
Lineage: Bacteria
Description: bacterial SSU rRNA
Rfam family: Bacterial small subunit ribosomal RNA
Source: RNAcentral
GAUGAACGCUAGCGAUAGGCCUAACACAUGCAAGUCGAGGGGCAUCACAUGAGGCAGCAAUGCCGAUGGUGGCGACCGGCGCACGGGUGAGUAACACGUAUGCAACCUGCCUUCAACAAGGGGAUAACCCGUUGAAAAACGGACUAAUACCCUAUAAUACAGGGGUCCCGCAUGGGGAUAUUUGUUAAAGAUUGAUCGGUUGAAGAUGGGCAUGCGUUCCAUUAGCUGGUUGGUGAGGUAACGGCUCACCAAGGCAACGAUGGAUAGGGGAACUGAGAGGUUUAUCCCCCACACUGGUACUGAGACACGGACCAGACUCCUACGGGAGGCAGCAGUGAGGAAUAUUGGUCAAUGGACGCAAGUCUGAACCAGCCACGUCGCGUGAAGGAAGACGGCCCUACGGGUUGUAAACUUCUUUUAUACGGGAAUAAAGUGCCCCACGUGUGGGGUUUUGCAAGUACCGUAUGAAUAAGGAUCGGCUAACUCCGUGCCAGCAGCC